Molecule: ribosomal RNA, 1372 nt
Filed under: uncultured bacterium
Lineage: Bacteria
Description: bacterial SSU rRNA
Rfam family: Bacterial small subunit ribosomal RNA
Source: RNAcentral
GAUGAACGCUGGCGGCGUGCCUAAUACAUGCAAGUCGAGCGAACGGACGAGAAGCUUGCUUUUCUGAUGUUAGCGGCGGACGGGUGAGUAACACGUGGAUAACCUACCUAUAAGACUGGGAUAACUUCGGGAAACCGGAGCUAAUACCGGAUAAUAUUUUGAACCGCAUGGUUCAAAAGUGAAAGACGGUCUUGCUGUCACUUAUAGAUGGAUCCGCGCUGCAUUAGCUAGUUGGUAAGGUAACGGCUUACCAAGGCAACGAUGCAUAGCCGACCUGAGAGGGUGAUCGGCCACACUGGAACUGAGACACGGUCCAGACUCCUACGGGAGGCAGCAGUAGGGAAUCUUCCGCAAUGGGCGAAAGCCUGACGGAGCAACGCCGCGUGAGUGAUGAAGGUCUUCGGAUCGUAAAACUCUGUUAUUAGGGAAGAACAUAUGUGUAAGUAACUGUGCACAUCUUGACGGUACCUAAUCAGAAAGCCACGGCUAACUACGUGCCAGCAGCCGCGGUAAUACGUAGGUGGCAAGCGUUAUCCGGAAUUAUUGGGCGUAAAGCGCGCGUAGGCGGUUUUUUAAGUCUGAUGUGAAAGCCCACGGCUCAACCGUGGAGGGUCAUUGGAAACUGGAAAACUUGAGUGCAGAAGAGGAAAGUGGAAUUCCAUGUGUAGCGGUGAAAUGCGCAGAGAUAUGGAGGAACACCAGUGGCGAAGGCGACUUUCUGGUCUGUAACUGACGCUGAUGUGCGAAAGCGUGGGGAUCAAACAGGAUUAGAUACCCUGGUAGUCCACGCCGUAAACGAUGAGUGCUAAGUGUUAGGGGGUUUCCGCCCCUUAGUGCUGCAGCUAACGCAUUAAGCACUCCGCCUGGGGAGUACGACCGCAAGGUUGAAACUCAAAGGAAUUGACGGGGACCCGCACAAGCGGUGGAGCAUGUGGUUUAAUUCGAAGCAACGCGAAGAACCUUACCAAAUCUUGACAUCCUUUGACAACUCUAGAGAUAGAGCCUUCCCCUUCGGGGGACAAAGUGACAGGUGGUGCAUGGUUGUCGUCAGCUCGUGUCGUGAGAUGUUGGGUUAAGUCCCGCAACGAGCGCAACCCUUAAGCUUAGUUGCCAUCAUUAAGUUGGGCACUCUAAGUUGACUGCCGGUGACAAACCGGAGGAAGGUGGGGAUGACGUCAAAUCAUCAUGCCCCUUAUGAUUUGGGCUACACACGUGCUACAAUGGACAAUACAAAGGGCAGCGAAACCGCGAGGCCAAGCAAAUCCCAUAAAGUUGUUCUCAGUUCGGAUUGUAGUCUGCAACUCGACUACAUGAAGCUGGAAUCGCUAGUAAUCGUAGAUCAGCAUGCUACGGUGAAUACGUUCCCGGGUCU